GAACUGGUCCGCAAAUGCCUUGCUCGCACUGAGCAACUGCGAACAGGGGCGAUUCUUUUAUUACACGUGUGUGAAUAACGUAAAUAGUUCUGUGCAAAAAUGCAGAUUUUUAUCGUUCUCUCUUUUGCAGAAAUUUUCUUUCUUGCUUGUAAAUUAUGCUAUCCCGUUAAUUAAUUUGUAAUAUGAGCAUAAUUUAUUGAAAUUUUUAUUUAUGUAAAACGGGUUUUAUUUUAAUUUGGUGAUAAGUUGGGGGAACUUGGAUUGCCGGUUGUAUCCAUCUCGCUCAUGAAUCCUUUUCUGCCAUUUGGUUCGGUACUAGAUUUACUGGGGUUCAUGCUCGUCUUUUGAAUAAACAUUUAGUGUUUUUUAUGGACAUGGUUCUUUUGAUUCAUGUCGUCGUCGUCGUUAUUAAUAUUUUUGAGGUGACCUUUAAAAUUUGUAUCAAUUUUGUGUUUUUUUAGGUGCAAUGGGCUUUGUUUUUUUCACUUCUUCAGCAGUGUUAUUUAUUUUCUCCUUUUGGGAAUCAUUCCAUUGUUAUUUGUUCCUAAAACUGUGUCAAAGACAAAUUUUUAGAUGAACAUAUCUUUCUCCCAUCUAACUGCUCAAGUUUUUAGAUCAAAAUAUCUUGAGUUAAGUCUCCCCAUUGACAAAAAUUGUACACGUAUUAGACGUUCGAUCCAAAAGCUAAUCCGGUCUACAUGUGAGGAGGCUUGUUGAAGACAAUAUUUGAAUUAAUAUACAUGGCCCUUCUUUAACAACUUAUGCCAUUAGACACGGUGGCUCAACAUUUUCUAUUGAGGAUGCCAUGUACUUACAGAAUAUAACAAGGCCUUUAGCAGUUUACCUGUAUCUGUAAUUCAGUUUAGCUGCUUCAACAUACUUUAAUUGCCUUUUCCUUUGUUUAUUUAAACUCAUUUUCUGCUGCUUUUUCUGUGUUUAUUGAGGAACAGGUGCUAGUUAACAGCCUUCUUAUCUUUCAGAUGUCCUAUAUCCACAUGUAUUUAGGGGCUCCAUUUUCUUGUAAUAUAAAUAUGCAGGCUACUAGACAUGCAGAGGUGGAAACAAUUGAUGUGCUACUUGAGCAGUGGAAGUAAGUUGGACAUUCAGGGGAAGAAGCUGCUUUGAAAUUCUCAAGAUGCACUCUUUAUGUUACAUGUGAGCGAUGCAUAAUGUGUGGAGCUGCUUUAUCGGUUAUUGGUAUGCUCAAGAAAGUUUAUUUGAAUAUAUUGUCGAGUUUGAUUGUUAUCUUUAAGAGAAGUGACCAUCUUAUGAUCUAUUAGGUAUCGAAGAAGUAUACCAUGGCUGUGCAGAUGAUAAAUUUGGUGGGGUGGGGAGCAAUAUUGUCGUUGCAUACAAAAAUCUCUGAAAAGCUCAAAUGUAUUGGAGGGAAUAAUGGCAUCUGAUGCUGUCAAUCUUCUAAGAAGCUUCUAUGAGCAAAGAAAUCCCAAUGGUAUGAAUAUAUUAUAAUUUUUAAUGACUGCAAUUUAACAAUUUUUGAACCUCAGAUUUCUCCUUAAAUUAGGAGAAAGAUUAACAUGGAAAAGGAAAAUACAACACUAGUGUCUCCACUGAAUGAAUUCAAUAGUUCAUUUCUUAAUCAUUUUUUAAAAGCAUUAUUUUUUAUGGGCACUCAAGAACCUUUGUUUUACUGGAGAGAUCAUGUAUUCUCCUAAAGAAUCAUCGUAAACAAGUUGAGUUCUAUCUCCACCCUCAUAUUUCCCAACAUAACACAUUAAUCAGCUUUAUGUUGGGAGAGAGUGAGUAAACUUGAUCAUAGCAUUUCCAUCUUUCAAAUCAAUAAUCAUUGGAUAUAUCCCUUAACUUUUAAUUGGUUAUGAUUAGAAGAAAAAAUAAAUUUUGGAGCGACUGUAAAAUAUCAGUAAUCUGAAGAAAUUGUAUUAAAAUUUUAAUAAAAAUAAAUAAGUUAUACAGAACCUUAAAAAGGGAGUUCAUUAACAAACAGCAGAUUACAGAUACAUCAGCUUCCUCGCUUGCUGAAGAAUGACAAGAAAAAGGAAGAGGGUGGGGGUGGGAACUAACCUUCCUGUGUCUAAUUCAUUGACAAGAGAAGGCAUUCUAAGCCUGUGAUGUUAAGCCCCUGUUUGACACCCAUUUUUUCAAAACUUAAUUUUUAUCCACAUGUUCUCCCAUAAAAUAAUUUUAUAUAUAAAUUCAAAACUUGUACUUAUUUUUAACUGCCUUAUUUUUAACUGCAUAUUCUUUAAAAAAUAACUAUUCAAAAAUACAUUCCCCAAAAAUAGGGGUCAAACUGGGGGGCCAAAUGUCCGAUAACCUUUAAACAUCCAAAGUAAUUAAUAAAGCUGCUACAUUGUUAUUGAUUAGGUGCCAAUGCUUGAAGUUCUUUGUUCCUUCCACUCCAAAGAAAUUACAGAUUUAAGUCUCCAGUCAAUUGUAAUAUUUUAUAUAAUAAAAAUUGAAAAUUUGUUUUUCUGUUCAUACUUGCCAUCUGAGUGAUUACUGUCUUUAGUUGUUCCUGAAGCCUCAGAAUGUCAAAGCAAUGGGUGUAAAAGGUUGUAUACUAAGUUGAAGAGGUACACUGGUGGUUAUUUCUUAUAAUAUGUAGCAAUAUUAUCUUGGGUUUAUUGCUGCCUCCUAUUUUAGAGAGAAAAAAGCGUGUUUGUACUUUCUACACUUGCUGUUGCAUAGAAGCAUCCAGGUGACAAGUUUGAUGCAGGGGGGGUUUUCAUUUUUAAGAUGCUUUGAUAUGGCAAUGGGAAAAGUGGUUAUUAUGAUCAUAUAAUGUGAUUCAUAUAUGAAUCUCUCUUCAUUGCAUGCUUGUCCUAAUCUCAUAAAUUAUCUUUGCUCCAAAAAACAAACAAAUAAAUAAAUAAAUAAAAAUAAAAAAUCAAUGUGCUUUGCAUAUGCAUCACUUUCUUGGAAUUAGUUCACUGUACUUCCAUAAUUCCCUACCUUUUGAUCUAUAUUAUAUUCAGAGUUUUUCAUUGCGACCCUCAAAAGAGACAAAUCCAGGAGCUAGAUUAGCUGACCAGCUGACUCGAAAAAUCUGAUUUCUCAGAAUNACGUGAUUCAUAUAUGAAUCUCUCUUCAUUGCAUGCUUGUCCUAAUCUCAUAAAUUAUCUUUGCUCCAAAAAACAAACAAAUAAAUAAAAAAAUAAAAAUGAAAAAUCAAUGUGCUUUGCAUAUGCCAUCACUUUCUUGGAAUUAGUUCACUGUACUUACCAUAAUUCCCUACCUCUUGAUAUAUAUUAUAUUCAGAGUUUUUCAUUGCGACCCUCAAAAGNNNNNNNNNNNNNNNNNNNNNNNNNNNNACAAAUCCAGGAGCUAGAUUAGCUGACCAGCUGACUCGAAAAAUCUGAUUUCUCAGAAUAUUAGGAUAGUUUUGCUGGAAAAAAUUUAUAGAUGGAAAUUAUCGAUUAAUGCUUGACCUCGGACGUAUCACUUGAACUCUAAUAUCAACACCAAGUUUCAAAUCACUUAGAUACACAUGUCCUAUUUUCUGUUAUGCAAUUAUAUGCAUGUACUGAUAGUUUUAGCUCUUCGAAAUUAGUCACUCUUAGGCAUGUCCUGGCACGGUUCACAUUAAUUAUGUCGAACAAUAUUGUUAUUGUUACACCAUAAGGUCACAAGUGAUGCUAGUAAUAUAAUUUUGCUCCUAGAGCAAUCUACAAUUGAUAUAACAUUUAUGAUUUACAAAUACAUUAAUAUACCUUAUCUAGCUUGUGAAUUUUAUUGAACUUUUCUUGUCUUUAAACUCCUCAUUUCUCCUUGUUGAUGUUGAUGUAAAAUUGCUCGUGUUGGAAUCCACCUGAGUCAUAUGCAUGGCUGCUCCUUGUGCACAAGUCUAUUAAAAUCGACAUAUUUAGCUGAUUGAAUCAUCUGUUAUUCAGGUACUAUGAUGGAGAACAUAACCUGUUCCUAAACUCUUAAUCUCUAAAGGAUUAAAUCAGAGUGCCCUUCAGCCUGCUCAUGUCCUUGUACUAGCUGGCCAGUUUAGGCAUAACCUGAGAGCCUUCCCUUAUUUUGAAGAUAAUGCAGUCCGGUGAAGGUACUCCUGGCACAAAGCUUCCUUACAAUCGAAGAACGUUGUUGAUUUAGUUUGAAUGUCAAUCUUUGGAGAUUGCUUUCGCUUAAAUGUACUUUGGGCACAAAGCUUCCUAGCAUAGAAGAACUUUGUUGAUUUAGUUGAAUGUUGGUCUCAGAUUAGAUGAUGUGGACGGCAAUACUUGUACUACAACAACAACAAACUAACAUUGUUCUUAGCAAAUUUGGGAUUAGCUACAUGGAUUUCUUUUGCCAUUGUUUUCGGGAUGGCAAUAAUUGUACAUCGGAGUUAUUUUCACUUCUCAGGGUGUAAACUGAAAUGGUGUCUUGUGGAAAUCUUCCUUCGCUUCUCUUUGAUAUUCAAUUCCAAAAUAGUAGUAGUUUUUUAGUUGAGUAUUUUGAGGAUGUUUGUUUAUGCCAUCAUUUGUUGAAUGUGCCAAAGCUGGGAACCUGAUAAGAGGAUUUGACAGCACUGUUGAUG
This 4504-nucleotide long non-coding RNA is filed under the name Olea europaea subsp. europaea. The record is from RNAcentral. Lineage: Eukaryota; Viridiplantae; Streptophyta; Magnoliopsida; Lamiales; Oleaceae.